This 443-nucleotide ribosomal RNA is filed under the name uncultured bacterium. Its description in RNAcentral is "partial 16S ribosomal RNA". It matches the Rfam family "Bacterial small subunit ribosomal RNA", at positions 338 to 795 of the family's 1533-position model. The record is from RNAcentral.
CCUACGUGAGGCAGCAGUGGGGAAUAUUGGGCAAUGGAGGCAACUCUGACCCAGCAACGCCGCGUGAAUGAUGAAGGUCUUCGGAUUGUAAAGUUCUGUGAUGGGGGAUGAACACAAUGACGGUACCCCAAUAGCAAGCCACGGCUAACUACGUGCCAGCAGCCGCGGUAAUACGUAGGUGGCAAGCGUUAUCCGGAAUGACUGGGCGUAAAGGGUGCGUAGGUGGUUUAGUAAGUUGGCGGUGUAAUUCCGGGGCUCAACCUCGGCGCUACCGCCAAAACUAUUAGACUAGAGUGCAGGAGGGGUAAGUGGAAUUCCUAGUGUAGCGGUGGAAUGCGUAGAUAUCACGCAGAACUCCGAUUGCGAAGGCAGCAUACCGGCGCCCAACUGACGCUGAAGCACGAAAGCGUGGGUAUCGAACAGGAUUAGAUACCCCUGUAGUC